CAGGGGAGGGAUGAUGGAGAGGGGAACAAAAAAAGAGAGACUUUCAAAGUGGAUUUAAAGCUAGGCAGUGCCUGCCUGACGUUACUCUGCCUCUGGCUUCUGGAGAGAGAGAGUCUUGCCUUGCUGCUUUGGUGUUGCUGCUGCUGCUGCCUGUUCCCCUUGUUGCCUUGCUCUGUUGCUGGUCUGGACCCCUGGAGCCUUUCCCUGCUUGGAAACCUUCCCUGCUGAACCCAUGCUCUUGUGGAUUAUCUUGCUGUUUUUCGACCCCCACUGUGCUGUUGAGUGCCAGCGUGUGCUUGGUCUAAUCGCCUGGAGCCCCCGGCCAGACACAGCCAAGGAGAAGACAACUUUGAUGCUGCUGCUAUGGUGACAGUACUGUAGAAGCCACAACUGAUGGGAUUGAUCCGGUGUUUGAUUCCUGAAAGUGCACAAAUCAAUACCGUCAGAGUGUUGAUUCCGCAUCUAGCAACUCUAUGCUUAGUUGGCUUCUGGUCCACAGAUUCCAGCUCUCAACUUCCCAAAAAGAGAAAGUUGCUUGUGGAAGCAGGAUUCAUUGAUGCCGAUGGAAGAAGAUGGCAUCGCAAACCUUACCUGGAUAAUGUGACGCUAUUGUCAACACCAUUCUUUGAUCAAAGGCAGUCUUUUUAAAUGCCCUGAAAGGAAAGGAUCAGUGGCAUAAUAAGGCUAGAGGUGGCCCUGGGAGCAUCAACCUUGAAAUUACUGCCCCCCACACCAAGCACACCCCCUGAAGCUGACAUGUAAGGGUCAGGGGAUGUGGCUGGCAUCAGCGUAUGGAUAUGCCAUUCGUCAGCCUCUCCCAGCCGGUGAGCUCUUUGUAUGAUGGUGGGAUGCUCCCUUUCUCUCCCCGACUUGGAGGAAAGGAAACAUCCAGCUGGCGGACAAAGCAUUCACCAGUGGGAAGAAGCCAUUGAGUGGUGUGUCUGUAUCCCAGUUCUGGCCACAGCCCUUGUGCAGGCACCAGAAGCAUGCCAACAUGGGGUAUGUAGCUGGCAUCAAGGCACUGAUGUGCUGCCUGAUGGCUUCUCCCAGUGGGCAAGUGUUUUGUCUGCUAAGUGGGUGCUCUGUGGGGGGUGAGGAGGUGCUGAGGGGAAAGAAGCCCCCUGCCAACUGCUCAGUGGUUCCUAUGGCCCUAGAAAGGAUUGCUGUCUGUCUGUUGUGGUAUGCAGAAUAAA
Hemicordylus capensis (graceful crag lizard) is the source of this 1193-nucleotide long non-coding RNA. RefSeq lists it as uncharacterized. NCBI's taxonomy places the organism in Eukaryota, Metazoa, Chordata, Lepidosauria, Squamata, Cordylidae. The record is from RefSeq and is a predicted model, not a curated record. The transcript is spliced from 3 exons.